UAGAGGUGCCGGAUUCACUGACAGCACCUGUCACCAGAGAGGAGUGCAACAGAAAUGCAAGCAUCCAUCAGAUAGCUCCACCAAGGCACACUCUGACCUGAAGGGAACACUUAUAAGGGUAAGAGGGGAGUUCAGUCCCUACAGACCAAUCAAUCCCUGACUUGU
This is an unclassified non-coding RNA of Chelonoidis abingdonii (Abingdon island giant tortoise), 165 nucleotides long. NCBI's taxonomy places the organism in Eukaryota, Metazoa, Chordata, Testudines, Testudinidae. The record is from Ensembl.